RNAcentral lists this transfer RNA (68 nucleotides) under Marmota monax (woodchuck). RNAcentral describes it as "tRNA.Ala". Lineage: Eukaryota; Metazoa; Chordata; Mammalia; Rodentia; Sciuridae. The record is from RNAcentral.
GGACUGUGGCUCAGUGGCAGAGCGCUUGUCUUGCAAAUGUAAGGCACUGGGUUCGAUCCUCAGCACCA